This 468-nucleotide ribosomal RNA is filed under the name uncultured bacterium. RNAcentral's name for it is "partial 16S ribosomal RNA". It matches the Rfam family "Bacterial small subunit ribosomal RNA", at positions 28 to 507 of the family's 1533-position model. The record is from RNAcentral.
GACGAACGCUGGCGGCGUGCUUAACACAUGCAAGUCGAACGGAAAGGCCCUGCUUUUGUGGGGUGCUCGAGUGGCGAACGGGUGAGUAACACGUGAGUAACCUGCACUUGACUUUGGGAUAACUUCAGGAAACUGGGGCUAAUACCGGAUAGAAGCUCCUGCUGCAUGGUGGGGGUUGGAAAGUUUCGGCGGUUGGGGAUGGACUCGCGGCUUAUCAGCUUGUUGGUGGGGUAGUGGCUUACAAAGGCUUUGACGGGUAGCCGGCCUUGGAGGGUGACCGGCGACAUUGGGACUGAGAUACGGCCCAGACUGCUACGGGAGGCAGUAGGGGGGAAUAUUGCACAACGGGCGGAAGCCUGAUGCAGCAACGCCGCGUGCGUGAUGACGGGCUUCGGGUUGUAAACCGCUUUGGCCUGUGACGAAGCGUGAGUGACGGUAAUGGGUAAAGAAGCACCGGCUAACUACGUG